GAUGAACGCUGGCGGCGUGCUUAACACAUGCAAGUCGAACGGAAAGGCUCCUGCUUGCAGGGGUACUCGAGUGGCGAACGGGUGAGUAACACGCGGGUGAUCUGCCCUGCACUUCGGGAUAAGCCUGGGAAACUGGGUCUAAUACCGGAUAGGACGAUGGUUUGGAUGCCAUUGUGGAAAGUUUUUCGGUGUGGGAUGAGCUCGCGGCCUAUCAGCUUGUUGGUGGGGUAAUGGCCUACCAAGGCGUCGACGGGUAGCCGGCCUGAGAGGGUGUACGGCCACAUUGGGACUGAGGUACGGCCCAGACUCCUACGGGAGGCAGCGGUGGGGAAUAUUGCACAAUGGGCGCAAGCCUGAUGCAGCGGCGCCGCGUGGGGGAUGACGGCCUUCGGGUUGUAAACUCCUUUCGCUAGGGACGAAGCGCAAGUGACGGUACCUGGAGAAGAAGCACCGGCUAACUACGUG
RNAcentral lists this ribosomal RNA (465 nucleotides) under uncultured bacterium. Its description in RNAcentral is "partial 16S ribosomal RNA". It matches the Rfam family "Bacterial small subunit ribosomal RNA", at positions 28 to 507 of the family's 1533-position model. The record is from RNAcentral.